UACGAAGGGGGCUAGCGUUGCCCGGAAUCACUGGGCGUAAAGCGCACGUAGGCGGCUUUUUAAGUCAGAGGUGAAAUCCUGGAGCUCAACUCCAGAACUGCCUUUGAUACUGAGGAUCUUGAGUUCGGGAGAGGUGAGUGGAACUGCGAGUGUAGAGGUGAAAUUCGUAGAUAUUCGCAAGAACACCAGUGGCGAAGGCGGCUCACUGGCCCGAUACCGACGCUGAGGCACGAAAGCGUGGGGAGCAAACAGG
Molecule: ribosomal RNA, 253 nt
Filed under: uncultured bacterium
Lineage: Bacteria
Description: partial 16S ribosomal RNA
Rfam family: Bacterial small subunit ribosomal RNA
Source: RNAcentral